RNAcentral lists this long non-coding RNA (858 nucleotides) under Bos taurus (domestic cattle). RNAcentral's name for it is "long non-coding RNA NONBTAT025450". Lineage: Eukaryota; Metazoa; Chordata; Mammalia; Artiodactyla; Bovidae. The record is from RNAcentral.
AGCAUUCUUAAGUUUCUUAAUGUGAGUCUAUACGUUGUAACUUAUCGAAAUAAGUUUCUAUGAUUUACUGAGAUAGGCACUGUUUCAACUGCUAAAUUGAAAUAAAUCACCAUAGGGUGACCAGAGUUCUCAGAAGCUUAUUGUCUGAGAUAGGUAUUGAAUGGACACACUUAAGCGACUAGACAGAGGGAGCUUUUUUGCUUUUAGGGGUAUUUGAAUUCAAUUCAGUGAUGGAGGAAGUAAAGACACAGAGACAAAUAAUUUAUCCAUAGGAUACAAAAAGUGUAAACAGACUACCAAACAUCUUGCAUUUAUACUUAAUUUUGUCCUAACAAUCAAAAAAAUGUGAAAAAAUACUUUGGAAAGAGAUAUGGAAAUUGUAAAAGAUAGUCAAGCAUAAUUAUCUUUAAAAGAAAAUGCCAUCAAGCAUUUGAUUACAGAAGAUUACCAAAAAAUCACUUUAAUUUUAAAUCAUUUUUGUCUUUAUCAACUUUUUAUCGUAUCUUUUAUCCUUGUAAAUGUCUAGCAUAAUUAUGAAAUUGAGAAGUAGAAAAUGUUUAUCUUCUUUUAUGAUGAUUGAGAGUCUGUUCUUUAUCUAAUACAGAUAAUUUCAGUCAAAAGCUCCACUGUGUCAAUUGUCAAGAUACAAUAUUCACCAUAGGUAAAAAAAGUCACUGAUUCAACUUAAUUUCAAUUGAUUUUUUUCUAUCAGUUUCAAAAACUAUUUUUUUUUCUUCAUUAGUGACUUCAUUUAUACUUUAAAACCAUGAAUAUUAUUGGAACCAUUAAAAAUAAAGAGGUAAAUUAUUUUAUAAUUAGUUUACCAAAUAGCAAUUGUGAAAAAAAGGCCUGUUAACA